GAUGAACGCUGGCGGCGUGCCUAAUACAUGCAAGUCGAGCGAACAGACGAGGAGCUUGCUCCUCUGACGUUAGCGGCGGACGGGUGAUUAACACGUGGAUAACCUACCUAUAAGACUGGGAUAACUUCGGGAAACCGGAGCUAAUACCGGAUAAUAUAUUGAACCGCAUGGUUCAAUAGUGAAAGACGGUUCUGCUGUCACUUAUAGAUGGAUCCGCGCCGCAUUAGCUAGUUGGUAAGGUAACGGCUUACCAAGGCAACGAUGCGUAGCCGACCUGAGAGGGUGAUCGGCCACACUGGAACUGAGACACGGUCCAGACUCCUACGGGAGGCAGCAGUAGGGAAUCUUCCGCAAUGGGCGCAAGCCUGACGGAGCAACGCCGCGUGAGUGAUGAAGGUCUUCGGAUCGUAAAACGCUGUUAUUCGGGAAGAACAAAUGUGUAAGUAACUAUGCACGUCUUGACGGUACCUAAUCAGAAAGCCACGGCUAACUACGUG
RNAcentral lists this ribosomal RNA (497 nucleotides) under uncultured bacterium. RNAcentral describes it as "partial 16S ribosomal RNA". It matches the Rfam family "Bacterial small subunit ribosomal RNA", at positions 28 to 507 of the family's 1533-position model. The record is from RNAcentral.